AACCCAUGUUGAGGACAUUUCUGCAUGAGCUCCGUGAACGUAUCCCAUGUCUCAAAAAGAGACUCCAAUUCUGUUUGUACAAAAGAGAAUACUUCAUUCUUAAGCUU
Molecule: small nucleolar RNA, 107 nt
Organism: Dioscorea cayenensis subsp. rotundata (Guinea yam)
Lineage: Eukaryota; Viridiplantae; Streptophyta; Magnoliopsida; Dioscoreales; Dioscoreaceae
Source: RefSeq, a predicted model, not a curated record